CAGUUGUAGAGGGAGCCGGAGAAGACAAAGAAGGAGGAGGAGAUGGAGGGGAGUCAACAGUAGCUGGCGAUGGUGCAUUAGCCGGUGGAGAUACUGGAGGUUUAACUGUUGGAGAAGGAGCAGAUACUGGAGGAUUAACGGUUGGAGAAGGCGCAGAUACUGAAGGUGCUGGAGUUGCCGCAUUAGGUGGAGUUGCCCCAGGCGAUUUGGUUGGGGGAGAUACAGGUGAUGAU
RNAcentral lists this long non-coding RNA (233 nucleotides) under Manihot esculenta (cassava). RNAcentral's name for it is "long non-coding RNA (MESC_LNC006166)". The record is from RNAcentral. Lineage: Eukaryota; Viridiplantae; Streptophyta; Magnoliopsida; Malpighiales; Euphorbiaceae.